ACGCUGGCGGCACGCCUAACACAUGCAAGUCGAACGAAGUAGCAAUACUUAGUGGCAGACGGGUGAGUAACAUGUAGGUAUCUGCCCUUUGGCCUGGAAUAACACGAGAAAACUUGUGCUAAUACCGGAUAAGUCUUUACGGAGAAAGCUUUAUGCACCAUUGGAUGAGCCUGCACUUGAUUAGUUUGUUGGUGGGGUAAUGGCCUACCAAGACUGUGAUCAAUAGCUGAUUUGAGAGGAUGAUCAGCCACAUUGGGACUGAGACACGGCCCAAACUCCUACGGGAGGCAGCAGUGGGGAAUCUUGCACAAUGGAGGAAACUCUGAUGCAGCGAUGCCGCGUGAGUGAAGAAGGCCCUUGGGUUGUAAAGCUCUUUCGUCGGGGAAGAAAAUGACUGUACCCGAAUAAGAAGGUCCGGCUAACUUCGUGCCAGCAGCCGCGGUAAUACGAAGGGACCUAGCGUAGUUCGGAAUUACUGGGCUUAAAGAGUUCGUAGGUGGUUGAAAAAGUUAGUGGUGAAAUCCCAGAGCUUAACUCUGGAACUGCCAUUAAAACUUUUCAGCUAGAGUAUGAUAGAGGAAAGCAGAAUUUCUAGUGUAGAGGUGAAAUUCGUAGAUAUUAGAAAGAAUACCAAUUGCGAAAGGCAGCUUUCUGGAUCAUUACUGACACUGAGGAACGAAAGCAUGGGUAGCGAAGAGGAUUAGAUACCCUCGUAGUCCAUGCCGUAAACGAUGUGUGUUAGACGUUGGAAAUUUAUUUUCAGUGUCGCAGGGAAACCGAUAAACACACCGCCUGGGGAGUACGACCGCAAGGUUAAAACUCAAAUGAAUUGACGGGGACCCGCACAAGUAGUGGAGCAUGUGGUUUAAUUCGAAGAUACGCGCAGAACCUUACCAACACUUGACAUGUUCGUCGCGACUCUAAGAGAUUAGAGUUUUCGGUUCGGCCGGACGAAAGACAGGUGCUGCAUGGCUGUCGUCAGCUCGUGUCGUGAGAUGUUGGGUUAACUCCCGCAACGAGCGCAACCCUCACUUUUAGUUGCCAUCAUUAAGUUGGGCACUCUGAAAGAACUGCCAGUGAUAAGCUGGAGGAAGGUGGGGAUGACGUCAAGUCCUCAUGGCCCUUACGUGUUGGGCUACACACGUGCUACAAUGGUAUCUACAACAGGAAGCAAGACUGCGAAGUUAAGCAAAUCCCUAAAAGAUACCUCAGUUCGGAUUGCACUCUGCAACUCGAGUGCAUGAAGCUGGAAUUACUAGUAAUCGUGGAUCAGCGUGCCACGGUGAAUGCGUUCCCGGGUCUUGUACACACCGCCCGUC
RNAcentral lists this ribosomal RNA (1319 nucleotides) under uncultured bacterium. RNAcentral's name for it is "16S ribosomal RNA". It matches the Rfam family "Bacterial small subunit ribosomal RNA", at positions 33 to 1398 of the family's 1533-position model. The record is from RNAcentral.